RNAcentral lists this long non-coding RNA (673 nucleotides) under Zostera marina. RNAcentral describes it as "long non-coding RNA (ZMAR_LNC003807)". The record is from RNAcentral. Lineage: Eukaryota; Viridiplantae; Streptophyta; Magnoliopsida; Alismatales; Zosteraceae.
GUUCUUGUGAGAUUUGAUUACUAUCUACAUCUCAUAGUAUUCAUCCAAUCUAGUAAGAUAAAAUUCUGAUUCUUGACACUAUGAACAAUCAUCUGCAAGGACGCGUGAUGUGAAAAAUUGUGUCAGAGUUUGAACCAAGGCAAGCUCUCCAACCACCGAUCUCAGGUAACUUUCUAACGACUUAUUAACUACUUCGGUUUGGCCUUUCGUCUGAGAAUAUGAUAAAGUUACCAUUUCUCGCACUAGAAUUAUUGAAGAUUCACGACUGGAGAUGACUGAAGAGCAGGGCUCAUCGGAGGAAGCAGUCAAUCGGAGUGGCAAAUCCGAUGGUCUUAUAACACCUACUGACCGAGCCACUAGUAUAAGAUUCAAACCAAGGAACCUAGCCGAUUUCAUAAUCAAUUAGGCUAGUUGGUUAUUGAUUUGGGGUGAACUGUUAUUGUUUGUUAAGUGUUCCUAGAGAACUAUUUAGUUAAUGUAUUCUAAGUUGUUGUAACCCUAUAAAAGGGAUAAAUGUGUAUUUCCUUUGGCAAUGAAUAAAAUUGCUUAAUUGCUUAAAACGAAUUCAGGGUUGUAACAACCCAAGUUUAGGAAAAUACACUGAUCCAUUGCUUGGAGAUCUUAGUCGUCGCAAUCUCCCCAACACUGACUCUAUUAGUGGUGCUUGGCGUGG